GGCGCGCGGCCGAGCGGGGGCCGUGGUGCGCGGCCGGCCGGGCGGAGGCCCCGGCGUGCGGCCGGGCGGGCGAAGGCCUCAAGCGCGGGUCCAUGGUGCGUCCUCGAGCUCCGCCUCCUCAAGCACGCCGGCAGCCUCCAUCCCUCCCUCCUCCCUCAUCUCCGGCAGCGGGCCUCCCUCCCCGGAACGGAUCCGCGUCUCCUCGAGCGGAUCUAGGGCGGCGGGGGCGAGGCGGCGUGCGCGCGCGGCGGCGUCUGUAGCGUCCGGGGUGGCGGCGUGCGUCAACGAAGGAGCAAGGUCGCGUGCGCGGAGUGGAGCAGGGACACGGCGCCGCGGCGGCGAAUCAAGAGCAGGGGCUGCCAAGCUCAGCGGCGGAGAGGAGGAAGGACGAAGGGGGCCCGUGUCAGACCCGGCCAAAUCCGGCGGAGGCAGUGGCUCGCCGGCCUUGAGCUCGCCGCCGCGAUCUUCUUCGCUUCCUUCCCGCCCCAUCUCAGCCGCCGGCCCGAGCCUGCCGGCGCAUCUCUUCCACCCCGUGCCGGAGCCGCCACCGCGGCGGCCUCUGCUCCCUAGCCUGCUGCGCCCCCUCCCGCGCCUCCUCGCGGAUGCGUUUGAGGAGAGAUGGUUGCAUCGCCUCUCUCCUCGAAGGCAAUCUGCCUUCCAUCGUAGCCUCAUCUGUUGGAGACGUUGCCUCGCGUGAACAGUGACUCCCGGAGAGGCAAAAAUGCUACUGCCUUCUCUGUUGAAGUCAGUCUAAGGCUAAAUGUUUUGCAUCCUUGUUCUAUAACUUCAUCUGGUUUUGAUUUUUCCUGGGUAUUUUGUAUGUGGUAAUAUGGAUGGCACUAACAUGUUAUUUGUUUCUAUUAUGGCCUUUGUAUUUCUGCGCUAGGUGGAAAUCUGAUUGGCAGAAACUACUAUCCGUAGUCAUGGAAUCUAAUGGAAAUCUGAAUACACUGAUCAUUGCUUAUGACUUGUUCUGCAUCAAAUCAGCAGAUGCAUCUUCUAAUAAGCAAUGAAAAUGGUGAAAACUGGGUAGAGAAUUUGACUCAGAUAUAACAAGGUUUACAUGAAGAUACAAGAUGACGUAUCAUUGUUCUCUGAGUGCUCAUGACCUCCAUUGGUAAAACUGAAACCAAACCGUGCCAUAGAAAGGUAUAUUGCUCUCGAGCAAAUGCAAGGAGAUUCAUUAUUCAUCUGUGGAAAUGCUCAAAGAUUAGUACUCUGCUUCUUCGUCCUCCAGCGAUCCAGCCUGUGAUGUCUUCUCAUGAUCAUUCUCGAGCUGGCUGAAGUUCCCCUUCUCCUUGAUCAGCUGGAUGUGAUGAUGCUUGCAGUAGAGCUUCCCCUCGUGCGCGAUGUAGUUCGAAGGGCUGAUGGUGCAUCCUCCAUGGCAGCACUUGAAGCAGCUCUUGUGAUACAUAGUGUUGUUGACAGUUACCUGAAGAAUUGGUGUGAGUGUUGUUAUCAUGCAAAUUAAUACUCAAGAGGUGGUGAGGACAGGCUAAUCAGCCUCAAGAACCACCGGAUCUCUAUGUAUGUAACGCAAAGGAAUCAAGGGAACAUGGUGAUCAUCAUCGUACCUUCGAAGCUCUUGUCCAGACUCCCCGUCCUCUUGAACAGCUGGUCGAAGUGAGGCCUGCAGUAGAGCACCCCCUCGAAGGAGUUGUAGUUCGCAAGCUGCAGCAAGAGAGAUCGCCACGCACACCGGCAUAGGCGCAUAGCUAUUAUUAGCUCAACGGAUCUAGACGGCGAGCUGGCCUGUUUACUAAAAGAAAACAAAUAGAUCUCGACGACAAGGCCACCCCAGCAAACAUGGAAAAGUAAGCCUGCAUAAGCUCCCCGUCAGGUCAGAUUUUUUUUUUUGUGAAGCAAAUCCCUGUCAGGUCAGAUUCUUCUGUUGCAACCUUCAGCCUUACUCAUCGGCCAUGAUUUGCUCUCGUAAACACUGGCGGAGCUUGACCUCUAAUUUCAAAAGAAUGAGGG
Panicum virgatum (switchgrass) is the source of this 1977-nucleotide long non-coding RNA. RefSeq lists it as uncharacterized. The record is from RefSeq and is a predicted model, not a curated record. The transcript has 4 exons. NCBI's taxonomy places the organism in Eukaryota, Viridiplantae, Streptophyta, Magnoliopsida, Poales, Poaceae.